GAUUUGGAGUGCUGGAACGAAGAAGAGCAAAAGCUGCCUUCUGCGCGCGCCCGACUCCGCUGCCCGCCCCGCCAGGCCUCCGGGAGGUGGGGGCUGGGAGGCGUCCCCCGCUCCCGCCCCCUCCCCACCGUGCAAUGAAAGAUGAACUGGCGAGAGAAAGCGUUUGAUUUAUGAGCGUAGGACGAAUCGCAUCCUGGAGCUGCGCAGCCCUGGCCGCGGCCGGGACGCCCUGCUCCGCGCUGAGCUUGGGGCCAGAAACCAGCCAUAGUCCCCACACUCCGCCGCCGCAGCUGGGAUUUAGCGGAGGAAGGGGCGAGGGAAGGUAGGGAGCAAACCUAUGAAGAAACAUCGCGUUGUCAUUGGAACUUCCAAGCCUUUGCUGUUAAGAGCCAGGUUCUUAAAUCAACCCGCCCCACACACAUGUUGCUUACAUGCUGCGUUUUCUCACGGUCUGUUUUGCCUGAACCCAUCAACAGCUGGGAGAUUAAUCAACCACACUGAAAAUGUGGAGGGAUUUAUGGGGGAGGGGGUUGAAAUGUGGAUGUUUGAAACAAAAGUGUAUAAACAAAUGAAUUGUUGAUAACUUAGUUAUUGACCUGGAGACUGGUAGCUUAUUAAAGAAACUCCGUGUUACUCA
RNAcentral lists this antisense RNA (637 nucleotides) under Pan troglodytes (chimpanzee). The stretch from base 527 to 628 matches the Rfam family "HOX antisense intergenic RNA myeloid 1 conserved region 4". Lineage: Eukaryota; Metazoa; Chordata; Mammalia; Primates; Hominidae. The record is from RNAcentral.